RNAcentral lists this long non-coding RNA (218 nucleotides) under Mytilus galloprovincialis (Mediterranean mussel). The record is from RNAcentral. Lineage: Eukaryota; Metazoa; Mollusca; Bivalvia; Mytilida; Mytilidae.
AGGAUUCUGGACCAUUUGUUGUACGCUUACUGUAAGAUGGCUGUUCAGCCCAUAAUAUUGGUGGAAAUCUUGAUUCAACUGUAACAUAGUCUGCAAAUUUGGAACAUCUCGGUUCUUUAGAUGCUUCAGCCAUCAUAUCUUCAACAAAUGAGUCUUCAACAUCUGAAUCCGGAAGAAAAGAAAGUCCGAAAAAUUUGUGCAACAUUUUCCUACUUCAG